CACAUACAAAACGGGAGCUGUUACCGGCUGAGAGGAAAUUCGAUUUCGACCGUAAACCUGAUUUGGAUAAUGCCAACGAAGGGACAUAUCAAGCUUGAAGU
Molecule: non-coding RNA, 101 nt
Organism: Ruminococcus sp. 37_24
Lineage: Bacteria; Bacillati; Bacillota; Clostridia; Eubacteriales; Oscillospiraceae
Source: Rfam